Long non-coding RNA from Mizuhopecten yessoensis (Yesso scallop), 1118 nucleotides. RefSeq lists it as uncharacterized. NCBI's taxonomy places the organism in Eukaryota, Metazoa, Mollusca, Bivalvia, Pectinida, Pectinidae. The record is from RefSeq and is a predicted model, not a curated record. The transcript is spliced from 2 exons.
GAUUCAACAACUGGAGAACGCACUGGCGAAUAAACGAUUAACGCAGUCAAGGAUGUGAUUGUUUUCCGAAAAAGGACAUUGAUCUUUGCUUGAAAAUGGACAACAGCUAUUUGCAUCAGCCUACCUUUCGAUUGACGGGAUUUUAGACUCCAAAGAUACCAUCAGAAAGACUUACACAUAACAUUCAUAAUUAUAACAUAAUUAUAACAUUGAUCAACUAAACGAUUUUCUCUCUUUCCUUUGUGUACAACUUCUUGCCUAAUAACACAUAUAACGAGCUUUAGAAGAUGUUCAUGAUAACAAGGAUUGAUCAAACGCUUAUUUAUAGCGUACGGACGAUACCAAACAACUUAACCUUCAACAGAUACAUCAAUCAAACCAAAGAAGAAUGUUGAGGUCUUUAUAAACAGAAGUUUUAACGAUUUCCUUAACUUUUUUUCUGAAACCUAAAUUUGAAAUAUUUUCUUUGAUAGAAGGAAAAGUCCUUAUAACUAUACUGUAACAGGAGGUAAUGCUGUCAGAAAAAACUAAGGGGUGUUUGGAAUUCUUAAUCUUUUUCAUAUUUAAGUGAUAUUUUUCACCAUAAAAAAACGGUACCUUGAUUAUUCUUUUCAUAUAUAACCUCAUUAGAGCUGUGUUAAGUACAAUAUAUUAAACAAUGACAGAGAAUGCUUGAGUUUCUAAUAGUUCUUAAAGAAUUUGUAAUAACACACUGUGACGCCCGGAAUGUUUUUUUUUUAUAAUUUGAUCAUUUUUUGCAGUAUAUCAAUAAUGCUAGAUGUAAUAUAAAUCUGUUUAUUUUAUUGUGUAUCGUUUAAGUGUAUCCUUUCCCUUUCUGAAGUGAUUAAUACGUCGGUGUUGUUACAGAACUGUUUUUAUACUUUUCAUUUAUAUGAUAUAUUAAAUCGUUUGUCUUUCUUAAAGGGAAAUUAAGAAACUUCCGCAAAUACAGAAUUCUACGUAUAUGUCAAACACUACGGAUGAAAGUACAUGAGCCUCACCUUUCUUUCCAAAUAUUUUGUUACAAAAGUCAAAUAGAUAGUGAACAGUUAUUUAUUUAACGACGUUUCACUUUCAAUUCGUUAGAUGCUUGUGUUAAAAAUACGACAUUUUUCGAC